RNAcentral lists this ribosomal RNA (553 nucleotides) under Acaulospora sp. RNAcentral's name for it is "SSU rRNA". It matches the Rfam family "Eukaryotic small subunit ribosomal RNA", at positions 571 to 1116 of the family's 1831-position model. Lineage: Eukaryota; Fungi; Glomeromycota; Glomeromycetes; Diversisporales; Acaulosporaceae. The record is from RNAcentral.
CGGGGGCGGUCAUCGCUCAUAGCGUAUAUUAAAGUUGUUGCAGUUAAAAAGCUCGUAGUUGAAUUUCGGGAUUUGUCAGUUGGUCGGGCUUCACUGUCCGUACUGAUUCGAUGGAUUCUUACCUUCUGAAUAACCAGCAUGCUAUUAAGUUAGUGCGUUGGGGAAGCAGAUCUAUUACCUUGAAAAAAUUAGAGUGCUUAAAGCGGGCUAGUGCUUGAAUAGAUUAGCAUGGAAUAAUAAAAUAGGACGGCAUGGUUCUAUUUUGUUGGUUUCUAGGAUCACCGUAAUGAUUAAUAGGGAUAGUUGGGGGCAUUAGUAUUCAAUUGUCAGAGGUGAAAUUCUUGGAUUUAUUGAAGACUAACUUCUGCGAAAGCAUUUGCCAAGGAUGUUUUCAUUAAUCAAGAACGAAAGUUAGGGGAUCGAAGACGAUCAGAUACCGUCGUAGUCUUAACCAUAAACUAUGCCGACUAGGAAUCGGACGAAGUUAAUUUUAUAAUGACUCGUUCGGCACCUUACGGGAAACCAAGUGUUUUGGGGGUUCCACAUUUAACGU